GCAAGUUCGAGGGGCAGCAUGAACUUAGCUUGCUAAGUUUGAUGGCGACCGGCGCACGGGUGAGUAACACGUAUCCAACCUUCCGUUUACUCAGGGAUAGCCUUUCGAAAGAAAGAUUAAUACCUGAUAGUAUGGUGAGAUUGCAUGAUAACACCAUUAAAGAUUUAUUGGUAAACGAUGGGGAUGCGUUCCAUUAGGUAGUANGCGGGGUAACGGCCCACCUAGCCUGCGAUGGAUAGGGGUUCUGAGAGGAAGGUCCCCCACAUUGGAACUGAGACACGGUCCAAACUCCUACGGGAGGCNGCAGUGAGGAAUAUUGGUCAAUGGGCGAGAGCCUGAACCAGGNNUGUAGCGUGAAGGAUGAANGUCCUACNGAUUGUAAACUUCUUUUAUACGGNAAUAAAGUUUCCUACNUGUAGNAUUUU
This 425-nucleotide ribosomal RNA is filed under the name Phocaeicola coprocola. RNAcentral's name for it is "Bacteroides coprocola partial 16S ribosomal RNA". It matches the Rfam family "Bacterial small subunit ribosomal RNA", at positions 57 to 471 of the family's 1533-position model. Lineage: Bacteria; Pseudomonadati; Bacteroidota; Bacteroidia; Bacteroidales; Bacteroidaceae. The record is from RNAcentral.